UUUCCCUCUGCACAGGUUUUGAUAAAUCUCCCCUUCUGUCUUUAUUUUUCUGUCUACUUGGGGCUGGAUGAGGGCUUAUUUUUUGGACAUCCUUUUUUUGUAUUGAUGGGACUUUAUGAUCAAUUUUUCUGACAUAUGACAUAAGCAUUAAAUAGUGAAAUCAGUACCAGAGGCAGAGUGUAUUAGAGGAGAGACGAUCUGGUGGCAAAGUGGCAUAAGAAUUGCCAAGAGACCAAUGUGUUUUUGGAUGCUGUAAUUUAACUGUGCAGAAGCAUAAAUGUACAUCCUGAGGCCUAAUGCAAAAUCUGUAACAGGGCUCCUAUAUUCUUUCUAUGGGAACGACUGUCCUUUAUAUGUAAGAGAGGAACUGUUUUGCCCCCUCAGAAAUAAAUCCAAAAUAAAUCUGCAGCCUCAAACGUCCUAAAGUUAUGCACAUCUACCUGUGUCUAGCAGUGCUUUAUAAGACCACAGCAAGUAUUUUUUGGAAUUCCACCAUCUAAAGCUUUGUUUUUUUUUAAGUGUUAAAACUAAAAACAAUCUUUUUUACAUGUCAUAAAGGUGUGUCAGUAGUCUGGAUCGGUGGGACACUGAAUGCUGAGCCUAUACCACUUUCUCCAUACCCAGCACGCUAUCCGAGGAAAGCAAAGCAAAAAAAAAAGAGGCACAGCACUUAGCUGUUUCUGCCCCUUCUUUCUAGGAAUUGAUGGGGUUCUCUGCACUCCCUCACUGAUCCAAACUUCUGACAGAAGUUUAUUUAAAGUUUAGUAGACAAGUGUUUCAGUC
Hyla sarda is the source of this 783-nucleotide long non-coding RNA. RefSeq lists it as uncharacterized. The record is from RefSeq and is a predicted model, not a curated record. The transcript has 3 exons. NCBI's taxonomy places the organism in Eukaryota, Metazoa, Chordata, Amphibia, Anura, Hylidae.